Molecule: ribosomal RNA, 582 nt
Filed under: uncultured freshwater bacterium
Lineage: Bacteria
Description: bacterial SSU rRNA
Rfam family: Bacterial small subunit ribosomal RNA
Source: RNAcentral
AGAGUUUGAUCCUGGCUCAGAUUGAACGCUGGCGGCAUGCCUUACACAUGCAAGUCGAACGGUAACGCGGGGCAACCUGGCGACGAGUGGCGAACGGGUGAGUAACGCAUCGGAACGUGCCCAGUAGUGGGGGAUAGCCCGGCGAAAGCCGGAUUAAUACCGCAUACGACCUACGGGUGAAAGCGGGGGACCGUAAGGCCUCGCGCUAUUGGAGCGGCCGAUGUCAGAUUAGGUAGUUGGUGGGGUAAAAGCCUACCAAGCCGACGAUCUGUAGCUGGUCUGAGAGGACGACCAGCCACACUGGGACUGAGACACGGCCCAGACUCCUACGGGAGGCAGCAGUGGGGAAUUUUGGACAAUGGGCGCAAGCCUGAUCCAGCCAUGCCGCGUGCGGGAUGAAGGCCUUCGGGUUGUAAACCGCUUUUGUCAGGGAAGAAACGCUCCGGGCCAAUACCCUGGGGUAAUGACGGUACCUGAAGAAUAAGCACCGGCUAACUACGUGCCAGCAGCCGCGGUAAUACGUAGGGUGCAAGCGUUAAUCGGAAUUACUGGGCGUAAAGCGUGCGCAGGCGGUUUUGUAAG